Falco peregrinus (peregrine falcon) is the source of this 4634-nucleotide long non-coding RNA. RefSeq lists it as uncharacterized. NCBI's taxonomy places the organism in Eukaryota, Metazoa, Chordata, Aves, Falconiformes, Falconidae. The record is from RefSeq and is a predicted model, not a curated record. The transcript is spliced from 2 exons.
AUUCCUGGCUGGCAGCUGUGGUGCAUCCUGGACAGUCAGGGGAUGAAAUGACUGUGUAACAUGCAGGGUGUUUACUAAAGGCUAGACAGAUGAGAUAAUGGUGGUGAUACCCAUGCUAACAAUACCGCAUUGAUAUCUUCACUGCUAUUGCAGGGCACAGCAGUUCAGGCACUGGCCUCCUGGAUUACUGUCCUGAUGGGCAGACUCUACAAAAGGUCUAAGGACAGAAGCCACCACGGUAAAGGCCACUCGGCAGCCUGCCAGGGAGGUGGAUGCCACUGUGGAGCAGUGUACUGGAGCAGCUGACCUUGCUUCGGGUGAGUGGUAUGGGCUCACCACACACACUGGCCUGGCUGAGAGUCCUCCCUACUGGGUGAGCUGCUCUGCAAAACCAGCUGAAAUGGAUGCUGGAGCUGUUUUGUCAGAAGGCAUCAGACAAGAGGCACCUACUGAUGAAAAAUGUGGUGUAGGAUGUAAAAUCUGAAUCCUGGCUGUUGGAGUCACAGAAGACGCUCCAGCUAUGCAAGUUGUAGAUUGGCUGUACUCCCAGCUGGGGAGGUCUGUAGCACCUGACUGAAGAAAUUCUGCAUUUCCAGACUUGUUCUUACUUUUCAUACAUCUUGGAAGAAACACCUAUAUAUAAAAAGGUACAUUUCCCUCUCUAACUUAAAACAAAACCAACCAGAAACAGACACAAAGUGGCUUCUGGCCAGGAUUUUCUUCAAAACAUCUGCUCCGCAGCUCAGUCAGGCUCUGUGCCCUGUGAAACCAGAUUUUAAUGAAGAAAGAAAGGAAGAGGAAGCAAAAUCACCUGUGGCUUUGCUUCUGAAGAACUGGAUGGUUACAUUAGGCUUGGUUUAGCCUGGCUUUGAGCACAGGUGCUAACUAAAGAAAAUGUGUUGUUUUUCUAAUCCGCAGCCUAUAGAGGAAUGCAUGGUCUGAUAGGAAGGAGUCUAUUGCAAGCAAGUCAAUGCAGUAUAAAAUUCCUUUUAAGUUGAUGCAUUUUGAAUUUAUAUAGUAUGCAGAUAAAUGUGUUACUGGUUAUUGCUGUUCCUACAGAUACAGCUGACUCAAAUCGUAACCAAUGUGAAUUUGAAAAUGUCACGAAUUUGCCCAUUUAAGAUAUUAACUGCCAAACAUUUCAGAAAUUACUCUAAGUUUCACUAAAUCUUAGCACUAAAUCCUUUUAUAUAACCUAAAGAACAGAUCUCUUUUUGUUUUUAAAAUGUACUCACUCUUGUCUGCUUGACUACCAGCUGCUGCUAUCUGCCUGCUGUGGUUGGUAACUGUAAAUGUGGGGGGCCAUUUUGAAACCAAAAGAGAUUAAAGACAAGAAGAGGAAGUCCAGCAACCUGAAGAUGCUAUCAUCAAUCCACAGCUGGCCGGGAACAGGAAGCAAGCGGAGAUGACAUCCAUAACAUACAGCCUCUAUGGCAGAAAGACAAACAAAAAUGAAAGGCUGUAGGAAUGGUAGAGAUUAUUCCUCUAUGGGCAUGGCUAUUGCUUUAGGCUGGUCAUCUGUGAAUGACAAGCACACACUUAGAGUGUGGGCUCUCUCCCAGUGCAGACAAGGCACAGUUUGUCUUACAGCAUAAAUGCUUCUAAAAUGGUUUAGAAAGGGAGCAGGGCGAAGCGCAGAAUGAAGAAUAAUGAUCUGCAAGGAAACUUGAGGAUCAGACUUCAUUCCCAUGAAUGUCAGAGCUUUGUAUUGACCACAGUGGAAGGGUAUUCAGGUCCUGAAUGGUUUCAUCACCAGUUUAAUUAUAGCAGAUGAAAUGCAAAACAAGACACGGCUUCUCGUACACAGCUUGCAGAGAAACAACAUUAUCAUCACCUCAGGAGCCUGCAUGCAAUGGAAAAGCUGCCAUUAAGAGAAAGGCCAUUUCAGGCCAAACAUGAAAAAGCCAGAUGUGGGAAGUCACAACAGCAGUCCUUGAGAACAAGCCUGGAAAGGCGGGUAUGCUGGAUAUACUGAACCACAAGAGCAGCAGUUUCAGCAGAGCUGCUUUGCUCCCUCCCAGCACUGGGUCCUAGGUGAGGCCUCUGCUUAGGAUUCACAGGAGCACUUUCGCUGGUGGGUUGUGUCCACUCAGGGUGGCAGACGCAUGUGCUUUGGCUGUGGCAUCCCCUGCACCUGGACCACAGCGCAGUGGCAGUUAGCAGUAUGCCACACCAUCUCUGCUGCAGCUGCUUGGAGAAAAAGGACCUACAAAGAAUCUACAACAUUUUUCAACUCAUUGUGACCCCUGAAGGCCAGUGUAAAUGAGAAGAACUCUCAAGCCUGGGAGGAGCAGAGAAUUCAGACUAGUGCCAGGCACAGGACAGGGAAAGGAAAGCAUUACGCCCUGACUUGCCGCCUGUGGAGUUCAGCCAGCUCCAAGGAUCUGACCCACAGCUCAUUAAACAUUUCACAGUGCAGUCCGAAUCUCUUUUUAUGUUUUGGUAAUGCCGUGAAGUAAAUUGUACCUGUAAUACAUUUGCAUGUGUAGCUUGCAUCAGGUUGGAUUAAGGUAUAGAAAGCUUCUUAAGCACAAAAGUGCCCAUUGUAAGAGUGCUGUCAUUAAUGACACUGUACUCAUUUAGAGCAGAGUUCAGCCACAGCCUACCUAGCGUCACUGUAGAGAAAUCAAAGUGGGCACAUUCAGCCUAAGCGCUAAUACUCAAUAUCUGCACCAGUGAGGUAAUUAUGAUAAUCCCUUAAUUACUGGCACCGGGAGAGUUUGAGGAAAACCUGCCUGGCAAACAAGCUCACCCUUUAAAAACAAAAGUUCACAGGCCUGAGAAAAGUUGAAAAUAUUCAAGUGAAUGGUUAUAUCAUCACAAGUAAAAGAUAAUCAAAAUGGGAGACAAGUGAGAAGAAAAAGUAGAAUCCACAUUUUUACAGAUGACUUUCUCAUCUUUGCUGCUUGCUUCCCAUAGCCCUUUCUGGCAAAAAACACAGGAUCCAUUUCCUAGACUUCAUUGAAGUCUCCCAGUACCCCAGCUCUUCUUCACCUGCAGCACCACACCUCCUAGCAGAGCAAGAACAUAGGGGUGAUGCACUAAAACUUGUGCUAGCUGAAUCUCAGCCCCUUGCUGUAACCACUAGCUCCUAGUGGUUUCUGCACAGCAAACUCACAGCAGGCAGCAGGCACUGUGCUGUCCCGACUGGCACUAGGUGCUAACAGGAAGCCCACAAAGACUAGAUAAAAACUGAAAGGAAACAACAGCACCAGAUGCAAUGAAUUUCACUGAGGACUAGCCUGUGCCUGACCAGCCUGCCCCUAGUGAGGGGCUGUGCUUGGCUCUGCUGCCUCAAAAGCAAAGUGGGGAGACUGCGGACUGUGAGUCACCGCUUGUUUCCUGUUCUCUUCCCUAUCUGUGAUGGAGCAACUUGUGCUGGCUAUGCCAGCUACCCUCGCCGUGGCACUCAGUGUCUCAGCCUGGCACCCCUGCUCUGGGCUGCAAAGGGGAAGGGAGUCGCGUGGUGCUGGGGUACCGCCCUGUCAUAGUGUGGGGGAGCUGCUCUGUGAGACUCCUGUCACCCCUGCUUGGCUUGGGGAAGUCAGGGGUGCCCCGGGUGUCACGUACAGCAAGCGGUGACGCUGACCUGGAAGCACAUGAGUCGCAGCCCCAGCAAACUCCCAGGAACUGGCUUGGUCAGAGGAGAGGAAGGGUCUCAGAUCCAUCCUCAAGACAUGAAUCUGCCAUGAAAGAUUUUUAAAAUGAGGAUUCUCCAACAAUUUUGUGUCUCAGGACACUGGGGUGCUUUGCUUGCAUUAAAGUUCCCCUCUUUGAUUCACAAAACAGAUGGCUGCAGACUUUAACUCCAAGAGGACUUGGGUCUGUGUUCUCUUCAUCAGAGCUCUAAAUGUGACAAUGGAGAACAUACCAUGCUGAACUGCAUGGAAAACGAAUGCUUGUCUCAGGCUCUGUGAAUAGUGCAUUCAGGACUGCUUAAUAAUAACAAAUCACAAAUAUAGCAUAGCACACACUGUACUCAAACUACAAACCACUGAAAAAUUACUAAUACAGAUUUGUUAAAAUAGAAUAAAAUAGGUCAAGCAAAGCACCAAACAAACUGCCAUACCAAUCUUUCCUCGACAGGAUGGCACUCAUCCUUCAUUUUCACAGUCUUUGUCUCUUUUCAGUUGCAUGUACAACUUUUAUCCUGGUUAGUAUUAACUCACCCAAAAAUUCACAGGCAGUUUUGCCCUUUGUUUAAUCGCAAGAGGCAUAGGCAAGACUGCAUUGGGGUCCAGGCAUGUGUUUGAUUGGUUAGCUGAGAAUUACACUACACUAAUUGGGACACCUGUGCAGUAAUACCAAGCAGUAUGAUAAAGUUUUAAGGGAAUAUGAGUUUUACAAAGCAAAACCUAAAUAUAUACCACUACCACCAUGGUACAUACCAUCAGUACAGAUUUCCCACUUCAAAUGCCCAGACCAGUUAUAGUAUCCACAGAGUUUGUUUCUCAGAGAGGAGGUACUGGGGGAGAGAGAAAUAACUGGUAGAAACUUCUUGUAGUAAUUAAACCAAAAGCUGAGUCUGGCAUCCUUUGUGACUUACGCUCUGAAGAGCAGAGUUGCAUGCAACAUUUUGCUGCAAAUUGCCUUGUUCUGUGAUUGUAAAAAUGAAAAUAAACACUUGAAGAAUU